AUCUACGUGCACGGGUCGGAUCUGCAGCAGUGAAGGUUUUGCCUGAGCUCAGAUUUUUGCUAGUUGAAAACUUUAACUAUAUUGACUACUUCUGCUGGUCUUCGUGAUCGGCAGGGAAUAUUUGGAACCUUUGAAAG
RNAcentral lists this small nuclear RNA (137 nucleotides) under Phaeomoniella chlamydospora. RNAcentral's name for it is "U4 spliceosomal RNA". It matches the Rfam family "U4 spliceosomal RNA". From Rfam's summary of the family: U4 small nuclear RNA (U4 snRNA) is a component of the major U2-dependent spliceosome. The structure of U4 snRNA from yeast and human has been reported. U4 snRNA presents a k-turn RNA motif in the 5p-SL related to recognition of Snu13 protein. Lineage: Eukaryota; Fungi; Ascomycota; Eurotiomycetes; Phaeomoniellales; Phaeomoniellaceae. The record is from Rfam by way of RNAcentral.